AGCUCCAAUAGCGUAUAUUAAAGUUGUUGCGGUUAAAAGCUCGUAGUUGGAUUUCUGUGGAGGACGGCCGGUCCGCAUUUUGUGCGUGUAUCUGGUACGGCCUUUGCAUCCUCUUGUGGAACGUUACGGUGCUUGAUUGCAUUGUGCGGAAUGCAAGACUUUUACUUUGAGGAAAUUAGAGUGUUCACGGCAGGCAUGCGCCUUGAAUAUAUUAGCAUGGAAUAAUAAUAUAGGCUCCUCGCCCUAUUUUGUUGGUUUCUAGAGCGAAGAGAAUGGUUAAUAGGGAUAAUUGGGGGCACUCGUACUAGAGCGUCAGAGGUGGAAUUCUUAGAUUGCUCUAUGACGAACUACUGCGAAAGCAUUUGCCAAGGAUGUUUUCA
RNAcentral lists this ribosomal RNA (380 nucleotides) under uncultured eukaryote. Its description in RNAcentral is "SSU rRNA". It matches the Rfam family "Eukaryotic small subunit ribosomal RNA", at positions 587 to 972 of the family's 1831-position model. The record is from RNAcentral.